RNAcentral lists this unclassified non-coding RNA (434 nucleotides) under Senecio aff. glaucophyllus 'South Marlborough'. RNAcentral's name for it is "partial contains external transcribed spacer and 18S ribosomal RNA". The stretch from base 371 to 434 matches the Rfam family "Eukaryotic small subunit ribosomal RNA", at positions 1 to 64 of the family's 1831-position model. The record is from RNAcentral. Lineage: Eukaryota; Viridiplantae; Streptophyta; Magnoliopsida; Asterales; Asteraceae.
CAACUUCCACCUGGCUUACCUCCNUCAUUUAUGCGUCAUGACUUGUAUCGUCUUGAGCGUAUUGUGGGUUUCCUGUGUUGCAUACCUUUCUAAUGGUAUCGUGUUGAUUGAUCUAAGUCCCUUUUCAUCUUGUGUUGCUUUUUGCGACGCAUGAUGAACCUUGAGGCGGUCUCUAUGUUCCACCACGUUGAUGYUACUGUUUCGAUGUUGUGGCCCAUUGAGCGUUGCUUGGUUUUGUGGAUACAGAACAUGAUUUGGGCAUAGGGUUACUUGUGACUCUUGUUCUGUCCUUUAUCAGUGUUCUUUAUAACGACGGUUCAUGCGCGCCUAGGCUCGUACCUGCGCGAUGUUCUUUGUCGAAGAGGAAUGCUACCUGGUUGAUCCUGCCAGUAGUCAUAUGCUUGUCUCAAAGAUUAAGCCAUGCAUGUGUAAGU